RNAcentral lists this ribosomal RNA (484 nucleotides) under uncultured bacterium. RNAcentral's name for it is "partial 16S ribosomal RNA". It matches the Rfam family "Bacterial small subunit ribosomal RNA", at positions 28 to 507 of the family's 1533-position model. The record is from RNAcentral.
AUUGAACGCUGGCGGCAUGCUUUACACAUGCAAGUCGAACGGCAGCGCGGGCUUCGGCCUGGCGGCGAGUGGCGAACGGGUGAGUAAUGCAUCGGAACGUGCCCAGUAGUGGGGGAUAGCGCGGCGAAAGCCGGAUUAAUACCGCAUACGACCUGAGGGUGCGAGCGGGGGAGCGAAAGGCCUCGCGCUAUUGGAGGGGGCGAUGUCGGAUUAGCUAGUUGGUGGGGUGAAGGCUUACCAAGGCGACGAUCCGUAGCUGGUCUGAGAGGACGACCAGCCACACUGGGACUGAGACACGGCCCAGACUCCUACGGGAGGCAGCAGUGGGGAAUUUUGGGCAAUGGGGGCAACCCUGAUCCAGCCAUGCCGCGUGCGGGAAGAAGGCCUUCGGGUUGUAAACCGCUUUUGUUCGGGAAGAAAUCCUCUGGGCUAAUACCCCGGGGGGAUGACGGUACCGGAAGAAUAAGCACCGGCUAACUACGUG